AAGAAGUUUAGGUUACACAAACCAGUAGCCUUCAAAGCCACAAACAAGGACUAAACCCCUUAACUUU
Molecule: transfer RNA, 67 nt
Filed under: Protoblepharus nyingchiensis
Lineage: Eukaryota; Metazoa; Chordata; Lepidosauria; Squamata; Scincidae
Description: tRNA-Trp
Source: RNAcentral